GGGGCACCACCAGGAGUGGAGCCUGCGGCUUAAUUUGACUCAACACGGGAAAACUCACCCGACCCGGACACUGGAAGGAUUGACAGAUUGAGAGCUCUUUCUUGAUUCAGUGGGUGGUGGUGCAUGGCCGUUCUUAGUUGGUGGAGUGAUUUGUCUGGUUAAUUCCGAUAACGAACGAGACUCUAGCCUAUUAAAUAGAUCGUUGGCUUACAAACGCCGGCGAGACUUCUUAGAGGGACAGGCGGCGAUUCAGCCGCACGAAACAGAGCAAUAACAGGUCUGUGAUGCCCUUAGAUGUCCGGGGCCGCACGCGCGCUACACUGAAGUGAUCAGCGUGCAUUUUGAAACCUACUCUGUCAAGAGUGGGGAACCCAAUGAACCUUCUUCGUGAUUGGGAUAGGGGAUUGUAAUUAUUCCCCUUGAACGAGGAAUUCCCAGUAAGCGCGAAUCAUAAGUUUGCGCUGAUUACGUCCCUGCCCUUUGUACACACCGCCCGUCGCUACUACCGAUUGAAUGUUU
RNAcentral lists this ribosomal RNA (519 nucleotides) under uncultured eukaryote. RNAcentral describes it as "SSU rRNA". It matches the Rfam family "Eukaryotic small subunit ribosomal RNA", at positions 1161 to 1698 of the family's 1831-position model. The record is from RNAcentral.